CUAGGUGCAGGUUAUUCGAGCAUGCCUAGCGGUAGAGAACUUUCGGGAUCUUGAGAGCGGCGUACGGGUGCGGAACACGUGUGCAACCUGCCUUUAUCUGGGGGAUAGCCUUUCGAAAGGAAGAUUAAUACCCCAUAAUAUAUUGAAUGGCAUCAUUUGAUAUUGAAAACUCCGGUGGAUAGAGAUGGGCACGCGCAAGAUUAGAUAGUUGGUGAGGUAACGGCUCANNNNNUCAGCGAUCUUUAGGGGGCCUGAGAGGGUGAUCCCCCACACUGGUACUGAGACACGGACCAGACUCCUACGGGAGGCAGCAGUGAGGAAUAUUGGACAAUGGGUGAGAGCCUGAUCCAGCCAUCCCGCGUGAAGGACGACGGCCCUAUGGGUUGUAAACUUCUUUUGUAUAGGGAUAAACCUACCCUCGUGAGGGUAGCUGAAGGUACUAUACGAAUAAGCACCGGCUAACUCCGUGCCAGCAGCCGCGGUAAUACGGAGGGUGCAAGCGUUAUCCGGAUUUAUUGGGUUUAAAGGGUCCGUAGGCUGAUUUGUAAGUCAGUGGUGAAAUCUCACACCUUAACUGUGAAACUGCCAUUGAUACUGCAAGUCUUGAGUGUUGUUGAAGUAGCUGGAAUAAGUAGUGUAGCGGUGAAAUGCAUAGAUAUUACUUAGAACACCAAUUGCGAAGGCAGGUUACUAAGCAACAACUGACGCUGAUGGACGAAAGCGUGGGGAGCGAACAGGAUUAGAUACCCUGGUAGUCCACGCCGUAAACGAUGCUAACUCGUUUUUGGGCUUUUGGGUUCAGAGACUAAGCGAAAGUGAUAAGUUAGCCACCUGGGGAGUACGAACGCAAGGUUGAAACUCAAAGGAAUUGACGGGGGCCCCGCACAAGCGGUGGAUUAUGUGGUUUUAAUUCGAUGAUACGCGAGGAAACCUUUACCAAGGCUUAAAUGGGAAAUGACAGGCUUAAGAAAUUAGGCUUUUUCUCCGGACAUUUUCCAAGGUGCUGCAAUGCUGUCGUCAGCUCGUGCCCGUGAGGUUGUUUAGGUUUAAGUCCUGCAACGGAGGCAUACCUCUGUCACUAGUUUGCAUCAUUAAGCUUGGGUACUUCUUAGUGAACUUGCCUACGCAAGUAGAAGAGAACGUGGGGAUGACGUCAAAUCAUCACGGCCCUUACGCCUUGGGCCACACACGUAAUACAAUGGCCGGUACAGAGGGCAGCUACACUGCGAAGUGAUGCAAAUCUCGAAAGCCGGUCUCAGUUCGGAUUGGAGUCUGCAACUCGACUCUAUGAAGCUGGAAUCGCUAGUAAUCGCGCAUCAGCCAUGGCGCGGUGAAUACGUUCCCGGGCCUUGUACACACCGCCCGUCAAGCCAUGGAAGUCUGGGGUACCU
RNAcentral lists this ribosomal RNA (1391 nucleotides) under Chryseobacterium sp. CW-F. Its description in RNAcentral is "bacterial SSU rRNA". It matches the Rfam family "Bacterial small subunit ribosomal RNA". Lineage: Bacteria; Pseudomonadati; Bacteroidota; Flavobacteriia; Flavobacteriales; Weeksellaceae. The record is from RNAcentral.